UUCAGAACCUCGUUAUGAUUUGUGAGUUUGGGGUGAUUAUACACACGUUUUUAGUAUCAUCGUGCAAAAUAAUGAAUCAUUUGUAAUUUUCAUUUGCUGCUAAAACAUUCUUCUAUAUUACAUUCUAUACUCUACUAUGACGCAUCCUCCGGAACAUCUUUAUGUUCGAGCAUGGAGUUUGGAGGAGAAGGAUGAACCACGAGCUUGCUGAUCUGUACGGCAAAUCGAGUAUCCUGACGGUGGUAUUAGGCGCAUGGGAGUACUGCGAACGCGAUGGCUGGAUCAGGUGAAGCGAGACCUGUCGGAGAUCGUGUGUCUACAUGGAUGAGAGGCUGCAGCCAGGGUCCGAGCAUCCUGGAGAAUGAUGAUUGACCGAGCCAUGUCACUUCGACGUGCUCUAUCGUGAGCAGGCCAACAAUAGAGAGUUCAUUAAGUUCAUAUGCAAGAAGAUAGGUAAUGAAGCAGGAGAGCGCAUUUGAGUGGCAAGGUUUGAUUUCUGUUUAGCCCGACAGAUUUAUAAUUUCUUGGAUAUUUUCGCUAAUCUCUGCAUAGCAUAGAAGAAGUCCGUACCACAUAUUACUAGUUCAUAACGGAAUGGUCUUAGAUUCAUAGCGGUGCCAUUAUACAUAAAUGGUGGUAAAUGUCGAAGAAUAUGUGUAUAGUAAGGACCAGUGGUAUAUUUAUUUUGCUUAGUGUGUAGGUUGUAUAUUUGUUGAUGGAAAAGUAUUCGUAUACCCAAUCCCGUUAUCUUUCACGAAAGUUCGCGUGCUAAACAAAGAUUGUUCAUACUUUAGUGAAAUGUGUAUUCAAAGCGCAGUUGUUUAUUCAGAAAAUAAAAAGCACUUGCAUGAGGAACUUCAGGCGGUAAAAUGUACUUACUUCAAAUGUACUUACCCAUGUAAUGGAGACUAACGCUUGUAGUCUGAAAGAAUACUGUCAAUUUGAGGCAAUAAAAGCAUGGAUCUGUAAUGCUAUUUAGUGGAAA
Molecule: long non-coding RNA, 985 nt
Organism: Anopheles arabiensis
Lineage: Eukaryota; Metazoa; Arthropoda; Insecta; Diptera; Culicidae
Exons: 2
Source: RefSeq, a predicted model, not a curated record